UACGUAGGGUGCGAGCGUUGUCCGGAAUUACUGGGCGUAAAGGGCUCGUAGGUGGUUUGUCGCGUUGUCCGUGAAAACUCACAACUCAAUUGUGGGCGUGCGGGCGAUACGGGCAGACUGGAGUACUGCAGGGGAGACUGGAAUUCCUGGUGUAGCGGUGGAAUGCGCAGAUAUCAGGAGGAACACCGGUGGCGAAGGCGGGUCUCUGGGCAGUAACUGACGCUGAGGAGCGAAAGCGUGGGGAGCGAACAGG
RNAcentral lists this ribosomal RNA (253 nucleotides) under uncultured bacterium. RNAcentral's name for it is "partial 16S ribosomal RNA". It matches the Rfam family "Bacterial small subunit ribosomal RNA", at positions 524 to 776 of the family's 1533-position model. The record is from RNAcentral.